Molecule: ribosomal RNA, 253 nt
Filed under: uncultured bacterium
Lineage: Bacteria
Description: partial 16S ribosomal RNA
Rfam family: Bacterial small subunit ribosomal RNA
Source: RNAcentral
UACGUAGGUGGCAAGCGUUGUCCGGAUUUACUGGGCGUAAAGAGCGCGCAGGCGGUCGUUUAAGUCGAAUGUGAAAGCCCCCGGCUCAACUGGGGAGGGUCAUUCGAUACUGAUCGACUUGAAGGCAGGAGAGGGAAGUGGAAUUCCGGGUGUAGUGGUGAAAUGCGUAGAUAUCCGGAGGAACACCAGUGGCGAAGGCGACUUCCUGGCCUGUUCUUGACGCUGAGGUGCGAAAGCGUGGGGAGCAAACAGG